CAAGUCGAACGUGAAAGGGAGCAAUCCCAAGUAAAGUGGCGUACGGGUGAGUAACACGUAGGUAAUCUACCCUAGAAUCUGGAAUAACCUGCCGAAAGGCGGGCUAAUACUGGAUAGAGCGACGGAAUCCGUAAUUGGGUUUUUCGGGAAAGGGAGCUCGUAAGAGCCUUCGUUCUAGGAUGAGCCUGCGUCCCAUUAGCUAGUUGGUAGGGUAAUGGCCUACCAAGGCUUUGAUGGGUAGCUGGUCUGAGAGGAUGAUCAGCCACACUGGAACUGAAACACGGUCCAGACUCCUACGGGAGGCAGCAGUGGGGAAUCUUGCGCAAUGGACGAAAGUCUGACGCAGCCACGCCGCGUGAGUGAAGAAGGCCUUCGGGUUGUAAAGCUCUGUCGUCCGGGACGAAAAUUCUUUAGGUUAAUAGCCUAAGGAACUGACGGUACCGGAAAAGGAAGCACCGGCUAACUCCGUGCCAGCAGCCGCGGUAAUACGGAGGGUGCAAGCGUUGCUCGGAAUUAUUGGGCGUAAAGGGUAGGUAGGUGGUCUCAUUUGUCUAGGGUGAAAGCCUUGAGCUUACUCAAGAAGUGCCCUAGAAACGGUGAGACUAGAGUUCUGGAGAGGGUCGUGGAAUUCCCGGUGUAGCGGUGAAAUGCGUAGAGAUCGGGAGGAACACCAGAGGCGAAAGGCGGCGACCUGGACAGAUACUGACACUCACUACGAAAGCGUGGGGAGCAAACAGGAUUAGAUCCCCUGGUAUCCACGCUGUAACGAUGGAUCCUAAGUUUGGGUGGGUCUUGACCCCCGCUGAACCCGAAGCUAACGCAUUUAAGUAUCCCCGCCCUGGGAAAGUACGGUCGCCAGAACUAAAACCUC
This 871-nucleotide ribosomal RNA is filed under the name uncultured Pseudomonadota bacterium. RNAcentral's name for it is "bacterial SSU rRNA". It matches the Rfam family "Bacterial small subunit ribosomal RNA", at positions 58 to 902 of the family's 1533-position model. Lineage: Bacteria; Pseudomonadati; Pseudomonadota. The record is from RNAcentral.